UCCGGUUUGUCACCGGCAGUCUCCUUAGAGUGCCCAACUAAAUGAUGGCAACUAAGGACAAGGGUUGCGCUCGUUGCGGGACUUAACCCAACAUCCCACGACACGAGCUGACGACAGCCAUGCAGCACCUGUCACCGCGUCCCCGAAGGGAACCCCUGAUCUCUCAGGAUAGCGCGGGAUGUCAAACGCUGGUAAGGUUCUGCGCGUUGCUUCGAAUUAAACCACAUGCUCCACCGCUUGUGCAGGCCCCCGUCAAUUCCUUUGAGUUUUAACCUUGCGGCCGUACUCCCCAGGCGGUCAACUUCACGCGUUAGCUUCGUUACCAAGGAAUUGCUUCCCCGACAACCAGUUGACAUAGUUUAGGGCGUGGACUAC
This 375-nucleotide unclassified non-coding RNA is filed under the name uncultured Pseudomonadota bacterium. Its description in RNAcentral is "uncultured proteobacterium contains 16S-23S intergenic spacer region". The record is from RNAcentral. Lineage: Bacteria; Pseudomonadati; Pseudomonadota.